GUAGAUGUAACAUGGUAUAGAAAGGCCUGUUGCCCAUAGAGGUAGAAGUUAGCAGGUAGAUGUAACAUGGUAUAGAAAGGCCUGUUGCCCAUAGAGGUAGAAGAUAGCAGGUAGUUGUAACAUGGUAAAGACAGGCCUGUUUCCCAUUGAGGUAGAAAGAGGGCUCAUCUGUGCCAUGAUGGUUUCAGUGACUUUGAAAUAGUGGAAGCCUUCAUUGGCAAUGUCCAUGCUAAAAUGGUUUCUAUCCAUCCAGAGCCCUCUUUCUACCUCUAUGGAUGUUAUCUAACCACUGGGCUAUUUAUGGACCCAGUCUUACCUGUAUCAGGAGUCCAUCACCACAGGUGUUUUACUUAUUGGGUAAAUUGUUUGGGACAGGUAAGAUAUUAUUACAAAGAUUUGGUUUGUGUCAUUAUUGGGCUUGUGAGUUAAUAGCUAUAAUGCUAACAGGUGUGUGUGUGUGUGUGUGUGUGUGUGUGUGUGUGUGUGUGUGUG
This 492-nucleotide long non-coding RNA is filed under the name Salmo salar (Atlantic salmon). RNAcentral's name for it is "lncRNA (ENSSSAG00000117986.1)". The record is from RNAcentral. Lineage: Eukaryota; Metazoa; Chordata; Actinopteri; Salmoniformes; Salmonidae.